UGGACGAAAGUCUGACGGAGCAACGCCGCGUGUACGAUGAAGGCCUUCGGGUUGUAAAGUACUGUCUUCAGGGACGAACGGUAGGUAUGAAAAUAUUGUACUUACAUGACGGUACCUGAGGAGGAAGCCCCGGCUAACUACGUGCCAGCAGCCGCGGUAAUACGUAGGGGGCAAGCGUUGUCCGGAAUCAUUGGGCGUAAAGGGCGCGUAGGCGGAUAUUUAAGUCUGGUGUGAAAACCUAGGGCUCAACCCUGGGACUGCAUCGGAAACUGGGUAUCUUGAGGACAGGAGAGGAAAGUGGAAUUCCACGUGUAGCGGUGAAAUGCGUAGAGAUGUGGAGGAACACCAGUGGCGAAGGCGGCUCUCUGGUCUGUAACUGACGCUGAGGCGCGAAAGCGUGGGGAGCGAACAGGAUUAGAUACCCUGGUAGUCCACGCCGUAAACGAUGAGUGCUAAGUGUUAGAGGGUUUCCGCCCUUUAGUGCUGCAGCAAACGCAUUAAGCACUCCGCCUGGGGAGUACGGC
This 524-nucleotide ribosomal RNA is filed under the name uncultured bacterium. Its description in RNAcentral is "bacterial SSU rRNA". It matches the Rfam family "Bacterial small subunit ribosomal RNA", at positions 372 to 886 of the family's 1533-position model. The record is from RNAcentral.